RNAcentral lists this ribosomal RNA (586 nucleotides) under uncultured bacterium. RNAcentral's name for it is "bacterial SSU rRNA". It matches the Rfam family "Bacterial small subunit ribosomal RNA", at positions 338 to 915 of the family's 1533-position model. The record is from RNAcentral.
CCUACGGGAGGCAGCAGUGGGGAAUUUUGGACAAUGGGCGAAAGCCUGAUCCAGCAAUGCCGCGUGAGUGAAGAAGGCCUUCGGGUUGUAAAGCUCUUUUGUCAGGGAAGAAACGGUGAGAGCUAAUAUCUCUUGCUAAUGACGGUACCUGAAGAAUAAGCACCGGCUAACUACGUGCCAGCAGCCGCGGUAAUACGUAGGGUGCAAGCGUUAAUCGGAAUUACUGGGCGUAAAGCGUGCGCAGGCGGUUUUGUAAGUCUGAUGUGAAAUCCCCGGGCUCAACCUGGGAAUUGCAUUGGAGACUGCAAGGCUAGAAUCUGGCAGAGGGGGGUAGAAUUCCACGUGUAGCAGUGAAAUGCGUAGAUAUGUGGAGGAACACCGAUGGCGAAGGCAGCCCCCUGGGUCAAGAUUGACGCUCAUGCACGAAAGCGUGGGGAGCAAACAGGAUUAGAUACCCUGGUAGUCCACGCCCUAAACGAUGUCUACUAGUUGUCGGGUCUUAAUUGACUUGGUAACGCAGCUAACGCGUGAAGUAGACCGCCUGGGGAGUACGGUCGCGAAGAUUAAAACGUCAAAGGAAUUGACG